RNAcentral lists this ribosomal RNA (579 nucleotides) under Knufia sp. RNAcentral's name for it is "partial large subunit ribosomal RNA". It matches the Rfam family "Eukaryotic large subunit ribosomal RNA", at positions 74 to 667 of the family's 3401-position model. The record is from RNAcentral. Lineage: Eukaryota; Fungi; Ascomycota; Eurotiomycetes; Chaetothyriales; Trichomeriaceae.
AUUGCCUCAGUAACGGCGAGUGAAGCGGCAACAGCUCAAAUUUGAAAUCUGGCCGUUUACGGUCCGAGUUGUAAUUUGUAGAGGAUGUUUUGGGUACCGCCCCGGUUUAAAUUUCUUGGAACAGAAUGUCAAACAGGGUGAGAGUCCCGUCUUGGACCGCGGUAGGGCCUGUGUAAAACUCCUUCGACGAGUCGACUUGUUUGGGAAUGCAGGUCAAAAUGGGUGGUAAAUUUCAUCUAAAGCUAAAUAUUGGCCAGAGACCGAUAGCGCACAAGUAUAGUGAUCGAAAGAUGAAAAGCACUUUGAAAAGAGAGUUAAACAGUAUGUGAAAUUGUUGAAAGGGAAGCGCUGGCAACCAGACUCGUGCGCGGGGUUCCCCCUUGCUUCUGCUUGGGUCACUUCCCCGUGUCCGGGCCAUCAUCAGUUUCGGGGGCCGGUUAAAGGCCUUGGGAAUGUAUCCACGCCUUCGGGGGUGGACUUAUAGCCCAGGGUGUCAUGCGGCCACCCGGGACUGAGGAACGCGCUUCGGCGAGGAUGAUGGCGUAAUGGUUGUCAGCGGCCCGUCUUGAAACACGGACC